Molecule: ribosomal RNA, 445 nt
Filed under: uncultured bacterium
Lineage: Bacteria
Description: bacterial SSU rRNA
Rfam family: Bacterial small subunit ribosomal RNA
Source: RNAcentral
ACGAACGCUUGCUGCAUGCUUUAUACAUGCAAGUCGAACGAAGGCCCUAGCUUGCUAGGUGUCCUUAGUGGCGGACGGGUGAGUAACGCGUGAGAAUCUGCCCUCAGGAGGGGGAUAACAGCUGGAAACGGCUGCUAAUACCCCAUAUGCCGAGAGGUGAAAUGAAUUUCGCCUGAGGAUGAGCUCGCGUCUGAUUAGCUAGUUGGUGUAGGUAAAGGCUCACCAAGGCAUCGAUCAGUAGCUGGUCUGAGAGGAUGAUCAGCCACACUGGGACUGAGACACGGCCCAGACUCCUACGGGAGGCAGCAGUGGGGAAUUUUCCGCAAUGGGCGAAAGCCUGACGGAGCAACGCCGCGUGAGGGAUGAAGGCCUCUGGGCUGUAAACCUCUUUUAUCAAGGAAGAAGAUCUGACGGUACUUGAUGAAUAAGCCACGGCUAAUUCCGU